ACGAACUGUGCGAACGUUAUUCGGAAUCACUGGGCUUAAAGGGUGCGUAGGCGGAUUGGCAGGUCAGAUGUGAAAUCCCACGGCUCAACCGUGGAACUGCGUUUGAAACCUCCAGUCUUGAGGGGAUCAGAGGAGAGCGGAACUGAUGGUGGAGCGGUGAAAUGCGUUGAUAUCAUCAGGAACACCGGUGGCGAAAGCGGCUCUCUGGGAUCCUUCUGACGCUGAGGCACGAAAGCUAGGGGAGCGAACGGG
RNAcentral lists this ribosomal RNA (252 nucleotides) under uncultured bacterium. RNAcentral describes it as "partial 16S ribosomal RNA". It matches the Rfam family "Bacterial small subunit ribosomal RNA", at positions 525 to 776 of the family's 1533-position model. The record is from RNAcentral.